AUGCCAAAGUGGCAUAUUUUGGGAUGGAGUAUUCUGAUCCCUUUCAAGGCCACAGAGCAGGGAAGUGACAGAAGGAGCCUUCACGUUGGAGUCUCCUGGCCCCUAGCCCAAUACCUCUUCACUGCCUUCUUUUCUUACAGUGCUUGGGCUUUUCAGGAGCAGACCCAUGUUCCUCACCCUUCGUUUCCAGGACCUUCUAUGCAUCACCUGGCCCAGCAUUUCCUUUGGCAUGGAGCUUCCUGGAGAAUAGGGGGUUCUUGUCCACCAUAAUGCCUUAGAGCCGUACUGCCUUAAGGAAUGUGCCAUCUGGGCUGGAGAAGGUGGCGUCAGAGUGGCUUCACUUCCUGCACCCAGUCUCUGCCACUUCCUGCUGAAUGACUUGCCUCAAGUGAGUUAUUGAACUUAUCCAAGUCUGUUUCCUCAUCUAUACAGUAAGGUCAAAAUAACCACCUGGCAGGGCCAUGUGUAAUCAGGUGUAAAGGAGAAAAUGUAUAUACAGUUCUUAGCACAAGAAGAUCCAGAAAACAGCUUUUUCUCAUCUCUCUUUUGGGAAGCCAGAGGAUACUACAACUGAUUUUUUCUUCUGCUCUGUGGUUCCCAGACCUGGGGUGUUUGGGGCCUGGGAGGGGCGCUCUGCCAUCAGCAGAGCCAGGAGCAGAGGUGGCUGCAUCUCAGGGCUGGACCCUCGAGGGGUGGGGACAGCCUCAGCUCCUGCUGGCCCCAGCCCAGCCCAGCCUCUGGGAAGGCUGCAAAGCCGCCCACCUGGACAAUGACCUUCGACUGCUCGUCCAUGGCCUCUUGGGAAUAAGGGAGUGUUCCUGGCAGAGGAUGGGCA
This 835-nucleotide long non-coding RNA is filed under the name Capra hircus (goat). Its description in RNAcentral is "lncRNA (ENSCHIG00010012189.1)". Lineage: Eukaryota; Metazoa; Chordata; Mammalia; Artiodactyla; Bovidae. The record is from RNAcentral.